UUGCAUUGAAAAAUUUGAUUUCUCAACUUCAUUGUGUUCUAAGUAGUUUACUAAGAGAGAGUUUUGUGUGAAGACAUUGAGGGAUAGUUUUUGGCUAAGGCAAAGGCUUGGUAUUUAAGUAGUCUUUUCAGACUCACCUCCCUUACCUGGAAAACUACCUUCCUUGACUUUCCUAAAUUUUCUCAAGGUAAAAUACUUGUAUACAC
RNAcentral lists this long non-coding RNA (206 nucleotides) under Phaseolus vulgaris (common bean). Its description in RNAcentral is "long non-coding RNA (PVUL_LNC004914)". Lineage: Eukaryota; Viridiplantae; Streptophyta; Magnoliopsida; Fabales; Fabaceae. The record is from RNAcentral.